RNAcentral lists this ribosomal RNA (423 nucleotides) under uncultured bacterium. RNAcentral describes it as "partial 16S ribosomal RNA". It matches the Rfam family "Bacterial small subunit ribosomal RNA", at positions 360 to 775 of the family's 1533-position model. The record is from RNAcentral.
AAUAUUGGACAAUGGGGGAAACCCUGAUCCAGCCAUCCCGCGCGUAUGAUGAAGGCCUUCGGGUUGUAAAGUACUUUUGGCAGAGAAGAAAAGGUACCUCCUAAUACGAGGUACUGCUGACUGUAUCUGCAGAAUAAGCACCGGCUAACUACGUGCCAGCAGCAGCGGUAAUACGUAGGGUGCAAGCGUUAAUCGGAAUUACUGGGCGUAAAGCGUGUGUAGGCGGUUAGGAAAGAAAGAUGUGAAAUACCAAGACUCAACCUUGGAACUGCAUUUUUAACUGCCGAGCUAGAGUAUGUCAGAGGGGGGUAGAAAUCCACGUGUAGCAGUGAAAUGCGUAAAUAUAUGGAGGAAUAACGAUGGCGAAGGCAGCCCCCUGGGAUAAUACUGACGCUCAGACACGAAAGCGUGGGGAGCAAACAG